CUAAUUAGUUUACAAGGUGCAGUGGCUAGUCUAAACUGUUAUGUCAAACUGUCAAUACCUAGAAUCCAUUUUUUCCCCCUUACAGAAACACUCAACCAAACAUUCAGUGGAAAAAAGAAGAAUGUGAAGGACAACUCUCAUUCAGCUGUUAUUCCUACGCUGUGUAAACUGGGUGACAAAGGAGAGAUGAGAUUAUAUCAGCUUUUUAAUAAGAAAUCUAAGGAGCAUCUUUCUCAGACCAGCUCAACUCCUCAGGCUGGGGACGGAUGAUUCGGAGUGAUUGGUUUCCCGUGGCUCGGCCGUGGCCGCUGCUGUCCCCACGUGCUCCUCGCUAAUCAGCUGCAAGGUGAGAAGUGUUGGCUUAAACCGCCUUCAUGAUUACGAUCUGGAGACAGAAGUUCAAAUAUCAGGUACAUUAAGGCACAGGAUUGAAGGCCACUGGGUUUCCCAUUAGGGAACCUGAGCUGCUCUGUG
This 474-nucleotide long non-coding RNA is filed under the name Manacus vitellinus (golden-collared manakin). RNAcentral's name for it is "lncRNA (ENSMVIG00005011416.1)". Lineage: Eukaryota; Metazoa; Chordata; Aves; Passeriformes; Pipridae. The record is from RNAcentral.